This 460-nucleotide ribosomal RNA is filed under the name uncultured bacterium. Its description in RNAcentral is "partial 16S ribosomal RNA". It matches the Rfam family "Bacterial small subunit ribosomal RNA", at positions 338 to 795 of the family's 1533-position model. The record is from RNAcentral.
CCUACGGGUGGCAGCAGUGAGGAAUAUUGGUCAAUGGACGCGAGUCUGAACCAGCCAUGCAGCGUGAAGGAAGACUGCUCUAUGAGUUGUAAACUUCUUUUAUAAAAGAAUAAACGGAGAUACGCGUAUCUGUCUGAAAGUAUCUUACGAAUAAGGAUCGGCUAACUCCGUGCCAGCAGCCGCGGUAAUACGGAGGAUUCAAGCGUUAUCCGGAUUUAUUGGGUUUAAAGGGUGCGUAGGCGGUUUGAUAAGUUAGAGGUGAAAGUCUGAGGCUCAACUUCGGAAUUGCAUCUGAUACGGGUCGGCUAGAGAGUAGUUGCGGUAGGCGGAAUGUAUGGUGUAGCGGUGAAAUGCUUAGAGAUCAUACAGAACACCGAUUGCGAAGGCAGCUUACCAAGCUACUUCUGACGUUGAGGCACGAAAGUGUGGGGAGCAAACAGGAUUAGAUACCCCUGUAGUC